UAGGCUGGUUCUGAGGAGGGAUGAUCAGCCACCACCUGGAACUGAGAGACACCGGUCCAGACUCCUACGGGAGGCAGCAGUGGGAUAUGCACAAUGGGCGCAAGCUGAUGCAGCAUGCCGCGUGUAUGAAGAAGGCUUCGGGUUGUAAAGCACUUCAGUCGUGAGGAAGGUAGUGUAGUUAAUAGCUGCAUUAUUUGACGUUAGCGACAGAAGAAGCACCGGCUAACUCCGUGCCAGCAGCCGCGGUAAUACGGAGGGUGCGAGCGUUAAUCGGAAUUACUGGGCGUAAAGCGCAUGCAGGUGGUUUGUUAAGUCAGAUGUGAAAGCCCGGGGCUCAACCUCGGAAUUGCAUUUGAAACUGGCAGACUAGAGUACUGUAGAGGGGGGUAGAAUUUCAGGUGUAGCGGUGAAAUGCGUAGAGAUCUGAAGGAAUACCGGUGGCGAAGGCGGCCCCCUGGACAGAUACUGACACUCAGAUGCGAAAGCGUGGGGAGCAAACAGGAUUAGAUACCCUGGUAGUCCACGCCGUAAACGAUGUCUACUUGGAGGUUGUGGCCUUGAGCCGUGGCUUUCGGAGCUAACGCGUUAAGUAGACCGCCUGGGGAGUACGGUCGCAAGAUUAAAACUCAAAUGAAUUGACGGGGGCCCGCACAAGCGGUGGAGCAUGUGGUUUAAUUCGAUGCAACGCGAAGAACCUUACCUACUCUUGACAUCCAGAGAACUUUCCAGAGAUGGAUUGGUGCCUUCGGGAACUCUGAGACAGGUGCUGCAUGGCUGUCGUCAGCUCGUGUUGUGAAAUGUUGGGUUAAGUCCCGCAACGAGCGCAACCCUUAUCCUUGUUUGCCAGCGAGUAAUGUCGGGAACUCCAGGGAGACUGCCGGUGAUAAACCGGAGGAAGGUGGGGACGACGUCAAGUCAUCAUGGCCCUUACGAGUAGGGCUACACACGUGCUACAAUGGCGCAUACAGAGGGCAGCCAACUUGCGAAAGUGAGCGAAUCCCAAAAAGUGCGUCGUAGUCCGGAUUGGAGUCUGCAACUCGACUCCAUGAAGUCGGAAUCGCUAGUAAUCGUGGAUCAGAAUGCCACGGUGAAUACGUUCCCGGGCCUUGUACACACCGCCCGUCACACCAUGGGAGUGGGCUGCAAAAGAAGUAGGUAGUUUAACCUUCGGGGGGACGCUACCACUUUGUUCGGGC
This 1196-nucleotide ribosomal RNA is filed under the name Vibrio parahaemolyticus. Its description in RNAcentral is "bacterial SSU rRNA". It matches the Rfam family "Bacterial small subunit ribosomal RNA", at positions 283 to 1469 of the family's 1533-position model. The record is from RNAcentral. Lineage: Bacteria; Pseudomonadati; Pseudomonadota; Gammaproteobacteria; Vibrionales; Vibrionaceae.